GAGUUGCGUCGUCAAACGACUCCACCACUGUCAAACUCGUCGACACACAAAAAAAGACAAGUAUUUUUUAAAUAUUUUUAUUUCUCUGAAAUGUAAGUUGAAUCUUCAGAUUCAACUACAUACAUAUGUACAUAUAUAAGAUAUGCCGGGUCGUUGAUGCUGAGGAAUGUCAAGUCAGCACAACGGCUUCAGGUAAAUUUAGCAAGUAAGAUUUUUAUAAAGAAUAUGUGAAGUCAGCACAACGGCUUCAGGUAAAUUUAGCAAGUAAGAUUUUUAUAAAGAAUAUGUGAAGUCAGCACAACGGCUUCAGGUAAAUUUAGGAAAUAAGAUUUUUGUAAAGAAUAAAAUGAUGAUUAAUAAACUGGACGGCAAGCCGCUCAGUACGGUAAA
Molecule: long non-coding RNA, 390 nt
Organism: Bactrocera neohumeralis
Lineage: Eukaryota; Metazoa; Arthropoda; Insecta; Diptera; Tephritidae
Exons: 2
Source: RefSeq, a predicted model, not a curated record